RNAcentral lists this unclassified non-coding RNA (449 nucleotides) under uncultured Cenococcum. RNAcentral's name for it is "sequence contains ITS1, 5.8S rRNA gene and ITS2". The stretch from base 99 to 252 matches the Rfam family "5.8S ribosomal RNA". The record is from RNAcentral. Lineage: Eukaryota; Fungi; Ascomycota; Dothideomycetes; Gloniales; Gloniaceae.
GACGAUUGACUCAUGUUGCCUCGGCGGGUCCUCCCGCCAGAGGAUACAUCAAAACUCCUGUUUUAACGGUGUUGUCUGAGCUACAAACAACGAAUCAAAACUUUCAACAGCGGAUCUCUUGGUUCUGGCAUCGAUGAAGAACGCAGCGAAAUGCGAUAAGUAGUGUGAAUUGCAAAAUUCAGUGAAUCAUCGAAUCUUUGAACGCACAUUGCGCCCCUUGGUAUCCCGAGGGGCAUGCCUGUUCGAGCGUCAUUUCGCCACUCAAGCCUGGCUUGGUGUUGGGCGACGUCCCCCUUUAGGGACGCGCCUCGAAACGCUCGGGGGCGUGGCACCGGCUUUAAGCGUAGCAGAAUCUUUCGCUUUGAAAGUCGGGGCCCCGUCUGCCGGAAGACCUACUCACAAGGUUGACCUCGGAUCACGUAGGGAUACCCGCUGAACUUAAGCAUAUC